CCCAGUUCGGAUUGUAGUCUGCAACCCGACUACAUGAAGCUGGAAUCGCUAGUAAUCGCGGAUCAGAAUGCCGCGGUGAAUACGUUCCCGGGUCUUGUACACACCGCCCGUCACACCAUGGGAGUCGGGAAUGCCCGAAGUCAGUGACCCAACCCAAGGGAGGGAGCUGCCGAAGGCAGGCCUGGUGACUGGGGUGAAGUCGUAACAAGGUAUC
This 214-nucleotide ribosomal RNA is filed under the name uncultured bacterium. Its description in RNAcentral is "partial 16S ribosomal RNA". It matches the Rfam family "Bacterial small subunit ribosomal RNA", at positions 1287 to 1500 of the family's 1533-position model. The record is from RNAcentral.